CUUCGAUAAUGUAAAAUACUGUGUAAUGACAAUUAUUGAAACAACAGCAAUAUAAAUAUCAACGCAGCAAUUAUUAAAUCAAUAAAAUAAAAUACUGAACAGUAAUUACUGUAACCAUUAUUGAGUAGUGCAUUCUUACGUAAGAAUCAAUAAUUGGUGCAAUACCGUGUGCUACUGUGUUUUAACCACCGAGUAUUUUAACAGUAUUAACGGUAACAACUACGCCGUUAUUUUUAAACAACUUAUAUUUGUCAUUUUCUUCAUCCAAUCGCUUUCCGUUAUGGGGCCUACACAUGGC
This 298-nucleotide long non-coding RNA is filed under the name Panax ginseng (ginseng). Its description in RNAcentral is "long non-coding RNA (PGIN_LNC014411)". The record is from RNAcentral. Lineage: Eukaryota; Viridiplantae; Streptophyta; Magnoliopsida; Apiales; Araliaceae.